This 424-nucleotide ribosomal RNA is filed under the name uncultured prokaryote. RNAcentral describes it as "bacterial SSU rRNA". It matches the Rfam family "Bacterial small subunit ribosomal RNA", at positions 357 to 774 of the family's 1533-position model. The record is from RNAcentral.
GAGAAUAAUUCGCAAUGGACGAAAGUCUGACGAUGCGACGCCGCGUGAACGAUGAAGGCCUUCGGGUUGUAACGUUCUGUUGUCCUGGAACAAGAGUAGCUGACGAAUAGUUGGUUACGAUGAGGGUACAGGAAGAGGAAGCACCGGCUAAUUCCGUGCCAGCAGCUGCGGUAAUACGGAAGGUGCAAGCGUUAGUCGGAAUUACUGGGCGUAAAGGGUGCGUAGGCGGUGAUGUAAGUCGGACGUGAAAUUCCGGAGCUCAACUUCGGAACGGCGUACGAAACUGCAUCACUUGAGGAAUGGCGGAGAAAAUGGAAUUCCAUAUGUAGCGGUGAAUGCGUAGAUAUAUGGAAGAACACCUGUGGCGAAAGCGGUUUUCUAGCCUACUCCUGACGCUGAGGCACGAAAGCAAGGGGAGCAAACA